Molecule: ribosomal RNA, 448 nt
Filed under: uncultured bacterium
Lineage: Bacteria
Description: SSU rRNA
Rfam family: Bacterial small subunit ribosomal RNA
Source: RNAcentral
AGGAUGAACGCUGGCGGUCUGCUUAACACAUGCAAGUCGAACGGAGUAGCAAUACUUAGUGGCGGACGGGUGAGUAACGCGUGAGAAUCUACCUUCAGGACGGAGACAACAGUUGGAAACGACUGCUAACCCCCGAUGUACCGAAAGGGCAAAUAUUUAUAGCCUGAAGAAGAGCUCGCGUCCGAUUAGCUAGUUGGAGAGGUAAAAGCUCACCAAGGCGACGAUCGGUAGCUGGUCUGAGAGGACGAUCAGCCACACUGGGACUGAGACACGGCCCAGACUCCUACGGGAGGCAGCAGUGGGAAUUUCGCAAUGGGCGAAAGCCUGACGGAGCAAGACCGCGUGGGGGAAGAAGGCUCUUGGGUUGUAAACCCCCUUUUUCUCGUGGGAAGAACACAAUGACGGUACCAGAGGAAUCAGCAUCGGCUAACUCCGUGCCAGCAGCCGC